CCUACGGGAGGCAGCAGUAGGGAAUCUUCCGCAAUGGACGAAAGUCUGACGGAGCAACGCCGCGUGAACGAUGAAGGCCUUCGGGUCGUAAAGUUCUGUUGUUAGGGAAGAACAAGUGCUAGUUGAAUAAGCUGGCACCUUGACGGUACCUAACCAGAAAGCCACGGCUAACUACGUGCCAGCAGCCGCGGUAAUACGUAGGUGGCAAGCGUUGUCCGGAAUUAUUGGGCGUAAAGCGCGCGCAGGCGGUUUCUUAAGUCUGAUGUGAAAGCCCCCGGCUCAACCGGGGAGGGUCAUUGGAAACUGGGAAACUUGAGUGCAGAAGAGGAAAGUGGAAUUCCAAGUGUAGCGGUGAAAUGCGUAGAGAUUUGGAGGAACACCAGUGGCGAAGGCGACUUUCUGGUCUGUAACUGACGCUGAGGCGCGAAAGCGUGGGGAGCAAACAGGAUUAGAUACCCUGGUAGUCCACGCUGUAAACGAUGAGUGCUAAGUGUUAGAGGGUUUCCGCCCUUUAGUGCUGAAGUUAACGCAUUAAGCACUCCGCCUGGGGAGUACGGUCGCAAGACUGAAACUUAAAUGAAAUUGACGGNUUGAGNGNGCGAGNGACGACGAGGAGAGG
Molecule: ribosomal RNA, 619 nt
Filed under: uncultured bacterium
Lineage: Bacteria
Description: bacterial SSU rRNA
Rfam family: Bacterial small subunit ribosomal RNA
Source: RNAcentral